Molecule: long non-coding RNA, 9382 nt
Organism: Loxodonta africana (African savanna elephant)
Lineage: Eukaryota; Metazoa; Chordata; Mammalia; Proboscidea; Elephantidae
Exons: 3
Source: RefSeq, a predicted model, not a curated record
CAGUUACUCCCGGAAGCGCCGGGACGGGUGGUGAGGGGCCCGGGCGGAAUGGCGCGCCUUAGAGCGGACGGUGUUCGUGCUGCUUUCCGUGCCGUGGUUUCUGAAAGGCGAGACGCCCCUCCUGUGCUGUCCUCAGAAGGGCUCUUCAGAGACCGCACCCCUAGUUUGCGGAGCAGCAGAGCCUGCCCCAGUCUGGACUAGGGACUUUAUUUCUUCCACUCUCACCACUGGCUGAAGGCAGACUCCUGUCUCCACAGACUAAAGAGGAAUUAUCAAAAUGAGCUCGAAACUCUAGAUUUGAGUUAAGUAUCAUAAAUUAACACAGAGAAAUACAACUUUAACACAAAGACCUGUUUGGAGCCCCAGGUGGAAUUAAAAAAAAAAAAAACUUGAACAGAGGGAGUGAUAAAGUUUUCCUUCUUUUGCCACCCUCUCUCGGUGGUCCCAAGCUUUCUCAUCUCCCACCUCACAAGACUGUAUCAACUGCUUUGAGACUUUUAGAAUAAAGAUCCCCAGGCAUAUCACUGCUGUUACCCUGUGAGGAUUUCCCCAGUGCUGGGUUAGACUAAGACAGAAUCCUUCCAAGGCUUCCAGGGCCAGUGUACUGGACGGUCAGCACAGGGAGCCUCAGAGCCCACUUCAUUUUUCCUGCAGUUGGGCACGACCCCAGGGACAUGACCCUUGAGAGUGCUGACACUUCCUGAAGCCAGUGACCCUCCCCCUGGGCUUCUCUCUGCCUGGGUCUCAGAGUCUCUGAGGCCAACUUGUACCCUCGGAAGUGUUUCUGCUGAAGGACACGUAAACAGCACUGUGGAUUUGUGUCCUGCAGUCUGCAAAACUGCCUCCCCUGAGUGGGGUGAGGAGCUACUGAAAUACUGAAAUCACUGAAACUAGCAGAAGCCACAGUUCAUGGUCCUGGGAGAAAACUGGGAAGGACGGAGAGGUGAAGAGGCUAUAAAGGCCCAGUCGUGAAGGCGACCAUGGGCCAGGAUGUCCGGAAGUCGCAAAGCUGACCAAUGCUGAGUGCCCUAAAACCUGCCACUCCUGUGCCCAUCUUUUCUUUCAAUGGACAAAGUCUUCCCCUGCUCUUAUGUGCCUGGGCUGGAAGGGCCUUUGACUUAGAACAUGAAGCAGCCUCCAGAGCCUCUUGGGGCAAGUGAUGGUCAAGGAGGCUCUGCCUAACCCCACCCUGCCCUUCCCAGUUGUCAGAGGACCAGGAAUUUCAGUCUUCCAGCUCCUGGGCUGAUCUAGUGACUUGUAACAGGAUUUCGCUGGAACUGGAAGGUGUUGAAGACAGGAAGUACUCCUGGGUUUCUUCACCCAGCUGAAUGCCUAGUUCCUGGUCUUAUUACACGGCCUACAUUCAGGAUAAGAAGAGGCGUUUGGAGCUUUACGCAGGACCUCUUAGCAGAGGUUUCUGUUCAGGAGCGAAGAGGUAAAAAGAAAGCAGUGUCUACUAAGUCCUUUUCCAAGAGUCUCAGGAAAUUCUCACGAAGACCCUCUCAGGUAAGGACUGACGGGAAAUGCCUUGGUUUAAUAUUAAACUUUGCCCUUGACACAUUUUGUUUAUGGAGGGCAUAUACAUAUUGUCCGCUCAAGGAAGCACUGUAGUUCUUAUCUAGACUUUAUGUAGAAUGAGUAUAUAUAAAACCUAAACUUGGUCCUUAAGCAAGGGGUUACCUCUCAGAGAAGGCCUAUGGGAAGGUUUCUACCAAAUUCUGUGGUGCUGCCAUUGCUCCAAGGAUCCCAGGUGGUGCCAAGUUUGAGCACUCGGCUGUUAACCGAAGGUUAGUUUUUUGAACCCACCAAAAGGCUCUAAGGAGUAAAGACCUGGCGAACUGCUUCCGUUAAGAUUACAAACCAGGAAACCCUAUCGGGGCAGUUCUCCUUUUACACUGGGCCACAAUGACUCAGAAACCCACUCGAUGGCACCUAGCAAUAACAACAGGAAGCCAUUGCCCCCAAUGUGCUUGAGAUGCCUUUCUGGGGAAGGUUGGCCUUCAGAGCCAGCUCAUGGCCACACGGGAACUGAGGCUCAUGUUUUGUUACCACACCUUAGUUUCAGUCAGUAAAUUUAUUUUCCAGUUUAUUCAUAAGACUUGACUGCAGACAUCUCUCAGGUAUUGUCAAAAUUAAUUCCAUUCUCUAAUAAUGAUUUGCCAGGACGUAUUUCCAAGCGUUUCCAAGAGACUGGAAAAACUUUCCAAAGAGGCUUGUCCAGCGCCAUGUUGUGCAGUAACUACAGUGUUUUUUUUUUUUUUUUGACGUAGUAUAUUAACCACAUAGUUUCCACGUUUUCUGCUUUCCUUAAAUAACAACUGAAAUUCCAAGUCUACCACCUGAAGUACUUCCUUUAGUGUUUCACUUAGAAGUCUGGUGGUGAUGAAUUCUCUCAGUUUUCCUUCCCCUAAGAAUGGCAUUAUUUGAGCUUUACUCCUGAAGGUAAUGAUACAUAGAUACAUGAUACAUAGAAUUCUGGGUUAGUAUUUCCAUCUUUCAGGGUUGAAAAAAUGUUGUUUCACAAUCUUUUUUUUUUUUGGCUUCCAUGGCUUCUGAUAGUGAAUACAGAGUCAUUCAAAUUGUUUUUCUCAGGUGAAAUGUGUUGUUUUCUCUCUACCUCCUUCCUGAGUAUUUUCUUGACCUUUGUUAUUCUGCAGUUGAUUAUGAUGUAUGGUAUUUUUAUGCAAGUAACCCAUGUUCUAUAUAUAUAUAUGUGUGUCAACUGUUUUUCCCCUCCCGGGUAUGUCUGUAAGUACAGUACACUGUUUUUUUCUUUUUACACGCUGCUGUUAAAAAAAAAAAAAAAAUUAGAGUAAUGUACUUACAAAUAUACUUGGGAUGUGGGGUAAGGCCCACUGGGUUGGCAAAAAACCCAUAACCCGCAGAAUAUUUUUGUGCAAAUACGGUAUUGGGGCAUAGAAUUCUUUAACUUGCUGUGGUUUGCUGAACUUCUUGAAUCUGUAAGUUUAUGUCUUUCACCACAUUUGGAAAGUGUUCAGCCAGUAUUUUUUCAAAUACUAUUUUCUUCACCACACAUUUUGUCCACUUCUUCUGGAGUUCCAAUAAAUAAGCUUUUUGUCUAGUUAUUGAGGCACUGUCCAUUUUUUUCCAUAUUUUCCUCUCUGUUUGCAGAAUGGAUAUUUUCUACUGAUCUAUUUCAAGUAUUUAGUUUUUUCUCUGUCAUCGCCAUUCUGCUAUUGUGAAAAUAUCAACUGAAUUUUUUAUUUCUACCAUUGUACUUUUAACAUGUAAAAUUUUCAUUUGCAAAUAGCACCUAUUAUCUUUCCAUUUAUUUAAAAAGUGUCUGUGUUAUUUCUUGGAGAAUGAUUAGAACAGCAUUUUAAAAUCUGUGUCUUAUGAUUUUGAGACUACAAGUCCUUCAAAAAUUUUAUGCAGAAUUUUUUUUUUUUAGCAGUCAAUUGACCCAGUUAUGCUCAGGCUCCAAGUUCUGUCCCAUCUUCUGUAUUCUGUGGUUCAAAUGUUAGUUCAAUUUUUGAAGGCUUUGCAGCUGUAUUCAGAUCUAAUCUAUGUGAGCGCCACUCAGUAUGGAACCUUGAUGGCAUUCUAACCCAUAGUGCGGCUCUUAAAGGAUUUUAUAAUGCUUCUUAGGGUCAGGGCAAUGCAUAUGCAUCUCGGGGGUGAACCAGGAGUUCAUAGCAAGUCUGCAGAAUCUCUUUCUUGCACAGCCUCCUCUCUGUCUUUCUCUUCUCCUCUCUGAGUUCUGAAGGAGUGCGUUCUAACCCAUAGUACGGCUCUUAAAGGAUUUGAUAAUGCGUCUUAGGGUCAGGGCAAUGCAUAUGCAUCUGGGGGGUGAAUCAGGAGUUCAUAGCAAGUCUGCAGAAUCUCUUUCUUGCACAGCCUCCUCUCUCUCUUUCUCUUCUGCUCUCUGAGUUCUGAAGGAGUGCUUUCCUGGCCCACUGGUGGAAAUGCUGGGGCUUUAAUCUCCUCAUUCUGUUGUGCACAUAAGUGACUGGUUCUACCUAUGGGGCCAAAGCACUGGACAACCAGCCAAAAGGCUGGCAGUUUGAACCUGUCAAGAAGCGCCUCAGAAGACAAGCCCGGUGAUCUGCUUUUGAAAAGUCUCACCCUUUGAGGCAGAAUUGACUAGGUGCCAGUUAACAGCAGAGAGAGAGAAAAUGUAAUGGAGCUUUCUCUACAAUAUUUGGUUCUUCCAUACUCUGGUCAGAGAAAAGGAUUCUCCUCUGCCAGAGUUUCAGGCGUGUGCCCACCUGCCCAGCUGCUUGUCUCUCUCCUUUACGGACCUUCUAUCCCAUUUAUAUGAGAGAGGGCUUCUCUUGGAGCUAUUUCUGUCCACAACGGGUGUGCAGCUCUGAGAUUUGGGCUCAUUUAAUUUCAGCCUCUGGAAUGUUCAUACUCUAUGUUCUGGUUCCGCCCCUUCCCCAUCCACCUUCAACACUUUCCUUUGCAGAGUCCUGAGAUAGUGUCCCAUGCAUUUGUCCAGAUACUUAGUUGUCAGAUACCAGCAUAGCCAUCGGGGGCAGUGCUGUUGUGGUUGCGGGGGAGGGAGUGUACACUGAAGGAGCUGCAAGACCUGGCUGCCUUGUGUGAGCAGGACGGGGGUGUGCUGAGGAGUGGGUGCUGAAGGUGCUGAGUCAAGGGGAGUUUAAUAUAAAGUUGGGUCAAAGAGAGUUUGUUGACAAGGAUUUAUUGCCGUAGCAAGGGUUCUGGAAAUGGGUUUAAUAUGCUGUGGGAUUGCUUUUGGAAUCUUAGAAAAGGCAAUGGCCCAUAUUCUCUGAAAUCGAAAUGCCAGACCUGCUGUGUCAGAUGUUGGAAGAGGGAUUAAAAGCCUCCAAUAUGUGGGCAUGUCUGAGUUAGUCUUCUAUAAGACCAUUUCUUGGAGGUCCUGAAGGAUACCCAUUUCAUCAAAAGAAUAAGGAAUGCGGAGAUGAGGGGAGCACCAGCAAGAUAGAGCUUACCAAUAUGUAUACUUUGUAGGGAGUCCCUGGACGCCACAAACAGUUAAGUGCUUGACUGUUAUCCGAAAGUUUGGCAGUUUGAACGUACUCAGAGGGUCCUUGGAAGACAGUCCUGGCCAUCUGCUACUAAAGGAUGAAAGCCUUAAAAACACUCUUGAACAGUUAGUUCUACUAUGCCCACAUGGGGUGGUCAUGAGUCAGAAAUGACUUGAUGACAACUAACAGCAACAAUCGUCUAUAGGCUCAGGUUGUUAGUGGGAGCUGGGCUGCCUAGUAGCAAUGCAAAUCAUGGGAUCCCAGCUCAACAGAGGCCAGGUGGAAGUACUUAACUGUCAGAAACAAGUUGUGUGUGAUUCCAAUAAUGGUCAGCAGGUCAGAGUAGUAGUUAUCUAUUGGGGCAUAAUAGAUUCUCCCCAAACUUAGCAGGUGUGAGAUAAAUGGAAAAUUAAUAUUCAACUCAUUCUGAUAAAUUUGGAACUAGACAAAAAUUUUGGUAUCACUCAACACAGUUUUAAGGUGAAGGAAUAAACUAGAAAAUUUAAAUAACUAGUAUAAGUAUAAUAAGAGAUUUUUCAAAGAAUGAUGAUAUAAUUGCAUACCUGAAUAAAAGACAAAUACAUCACAAUCAAUGAUUUCUCUCCAGUAUAGACAUGAGGGUCUCAAAUUGGCAAGGGUGAGAAGGGCAGACCGUUCUCUUUCCCCUACUACUUGACUGGAUCAAACUGUGUUCAAAACUGUAAAAUAUUUAGGAAAACAUUGUUUUGACCAGAGCAGCAAAGGACUUCUAUGAUGAAAACUAAUGUACUAAAAUACAUAAAAUGAAACCUGAAUAUAUGCAAAAAAUAUGCCAUAUUUUCAAAUGAGAAGUCUUGUCAAUCAAAUGGAGGUCCCUAAAACUAAUAUAUAAGUGGAAUGUAUUUCCAGUUGGAAUAUUAAGAUAGUUGUUUUUGAAUUGUAUACAGUAAUCAUAUGCUACAAAUAGUACAGUAGAUAGCAGAGGAUGUUGCUGGUGUUAGGAGACUUGGAGUCCAUUUCUGACUCAUAGUGAUCCCAUUUCACUGCCCCAUAGGGUUUUCUAGGCUGUGAUCAUUAUGGGAGCAGAACAACAGGUCUUUCCCCUCAGUGCCCCCUGGUGGGUUCGACCUGCCAAACCUUCUUUGGAUUAGCAGAUGAGCACUUAAUCACUACAACACUACGGCUGCUUUAAAAGGUAUAGAGAAGAAAAACAUGAAAAAGCAGGAUACUGACAGGUGUCUACCUCUUCAGGUAACAGAACAAAUUGAUAUUACAUAGCACAGAAACUGACAAGUCGACCAAUGAAACAAAAUCUGCUAAGAAGUCACAAUAACCAUUGAUACAAAGGUGGUAUUUUGAGAAAAUUAUAUUUAUUUAAUAAACAGUGCUGACUCAAGUGAUCGUUCUGGGGGACAAAGCUUGCAAAAAUGUGAUACACAAAUGAUAGAUUUGGAAAAUCAUGUGAAAUGGAGAUGACAAGACUUAAUAACAAUUUCCAUUUUACACAGAAGGAUAAAAGUUAAGCACUUGAAAAAUGAGCAGUGAAUUCAAACAGAUCGUUCACAGCAAAUCCACAUGCCCAAUAAACAUAGUCCAAGUUGCUCAAAAACACUGGUAGUUAAGAAAAUAUCAAAGUCCCAGUGAAACUGGCACAAUUUAAAAAUCAACACCAUCUAUGGCUGGCUGGGCUGUGGGGAGAAGGAUACCCUGAGACAUGGCUGGAAAGGUGCUUUAGGACAGCCUCUAGGGGAAAGACAUGGCCAUGGCUCUGUACUUUAAAAACAUACUUUGAGCUGGAAAUCUCACUCUAUGGAGUCUAUUCCACAGAAACAGAUCCUGUAGUAUACAACUGAUAGUUAUUAUUAGUGUUGACCAAACAUUGACUGUACAUUGAUAGUUGAAUGAUAGAUAACUUAUGGUAAAGCUACAUCAUCAAUAAAUGAGUUGUAGUAGUUGAGUGGGAAAAAUCUCUGUGAAGUAUUAUUGAAGUAUUACUGAAAAAAUCAAGGUGCAUGCAGAGAAGUGUAUAUAAAAUGAUCACAUCUGGGUUAAACAAUAUCAAUUGUUUGAAUAUGCUUGAAUACCUGUUUAUGUUUAUGAGUGUGUAUAAGUCCGUGUGCUUGUUUAAGCAAGGAUAAGAGAGAGUACUUACCACAUUGUUAACCUGAAUUAUCUUGGAUUCACUUGCAGGAAAGAACAGAGGGAGGAGAGGUAGAACACGCAGGAAGAGUGGACUUAAAAAGCAUGGAUGAUAAUGUUUCCAUCUUAGUAGUGUUAUGUAUGGAUGAACAAAUCUGUCUUAAAGGGAGAAAGCCAGAAUGUUCCUUAGAAGCAAGGAUGGCUUUGGCCAUGUUAUCAAGAGGGAGGGACCAGUCCCUGGAAAAGGACAUCAUGCUUGGUAAAGCAGAGGUCCAGUGAAAAAGAGGAAGACCCUCAAUGAGAUUGAUACAGUGGCUGCAACAGUGUGCUCAAAUAGAGCAAAGAUUAUUAGGAUUGCACAUGACCGGGUGGUGUUUUGUUCUGUGGUGCAAAGGGCCACUGUGAGUCAGAACUGACUUGAUAGCUUCUGACAACAACAUGUAGAAGUCCAGAUAAAGUGUACUGAAUUGAUAUCAUCUAUUUAAAUUAUUCAUGUAAGUUAAAAGAUCAAAAAAUAUAGUGUUAGUGCCAUAUCUAAUGACUUAAAGAGAAUCAAGGUAGAAUAUUAAGUGAAAUAAGGGGCGAGAGCAUUGUGGGUGGAGUGUGACCAGGCUUUCAUAAAAGUAAACACCCCAGCAGAUGUACUUGUGUACCUGUGACUGUGUGUAUGCGUCCCUGCAGAGAGGUGUAGGGAAGGAUACACGUGUGUCUAUUACCAUCGGAUACCUUGUGGGAGCGGGACCAAAUUACAUAUGAGGGUGGGACCCUGACAUAAAUUUUUUUGUCAUACAAAUCUGUGAUCUUGCAAAUGUGAUAAAAAGCAAUUUCAGAGCUUUGGAAAUUCAUAAACAUCAUAGAUAUAUGUAUAUUUUAACGUGUUUUGUUAGAUAUUUAAAAUAGGUGAAAAUUCUCCAGAAUGACAGACAAAAGAUUUGAAUCACUGGAAGGACAGCACACCACAGAGAGUAAUAAUCAGAUCCAGUGGAUUUCUUGUUGUUCUUGGAGGCAGUGAGUUCUUCUGGUCUCUAUAACUGGAAAUGACCAAAAAUAAUUUUGGGAAGUCAGUAGAGUUACCCCUCAAACACGUCUUGCAAGCACACGUCUACAGCUAAAUUCAGAAGGCUGGAUGCCAUGUGCAAUUCACUAGGUAACUCAUGCGCCUCUAGAAGAUUCUCUUUCCCGGAUAUGCUGCUUCCACCUCCUCCCUGCCUAGCCCCACUGGAUAACCCGCCUUUGUGCAUUCUAGGCCCCAUUCAGGUCUGAGCCUAGAUCAUAGAGGACAUCAACUGGGAAGGUAGCUUUUAAGAAGAAAGAUGUUGAUGAAAAGAUUUCAGAAAGCAGCACCUCCCCAGCCAUCCUCUCCCCAGCCUGGGAAUACCAACCCCUCCCACCCUGAUACCUCUGAGAAUCUCUGAUUUUUCGUUUUGGAUCCUUAGGAGACUGCAGAAUUUACCUGGUCUGAACACCUUGGUUCUUCUCUGCCUCUGACCCUCUGCCUCGCAGGAGCCGUCUCUGUCACUCUGAGGAAUACACACAGGACAGACUGUGGAUGGAGGUGCCCAUCCUAGAGGCCCUGCCCUCCAUUCCUCUGCCCCUGGGGGGUUCCCUGUGAUACUUGUGGUCUCAUUUCCCAGAGAGAUGGAUACACCCCUGUCAUGUCCAGGGCUUCCCCAGACUUGGGAUUUGAUGUCGCGACUGAGACUGGGGCUUUGUUGUCCACUGUUGAGUCUGGCCCUGAAUCUGCCCCUUCCCACCAUUACCUCUGAUCACCUGUGUUCUCGCUGUUCUCCCUGGGUUUGAAGCCUGUCCUCUCUUUUGGUUCUUUCACCUCAGAGGGCCUUUUUCUUCCAGUUCUUUGACCUCGCGACAGGUCAGAUUUGACCACAGGAAAACAAAAAGAAAAUUAGCAAGUUUGUUUGACAUGUCAAGAACCGGAAUGUACAGCUUGAUUUAGGCGAAGAAAAAGUUCCAAAGCUCUACCCCUUCCCCUAGGACAUGCUCUACAGGAAAUAUCCUGCAAGCCCUGGAUCAACUCUUAUCCAGAAACGGUUAACACCCAGGGGGAUUUUUCUACACCACCUCCCACUUACAUUCCCCUAAUGUGGCAAAAAGGAUGCAUCCCAAUCAUAAACCCAAAUUCACCGUAGGAGACCAGAAGACAUGGCUGGGCUGCUCCUCCAGGCGUCUGCAGACCGCUCUCUUCUCCCUCACCUCCCUCUUCUUGGCCGCCAUCAGGCAACGCCUGGCCAGCUGGUGGCAGCGUCUGGGCCUUCGCUGGACUGAGCGUGGCA